UAUCGAAUAACCCGGAACAUCGUUACAUUUACAAGGAUUCCUUAUCAUGGCAGCACUUCAUGCUUAUGAAUUGAAAUUUAAAUCAACAGGUGAAAAUAUGAGAGAGAUGUGGAGAAAAGAAAAUAUCCUCAUGUAAAGAACAUGUCAAAAAUAACGUAGACCAAAAAGUGUCCAAGAAGUGGACAAUAAUAAACUUCCUGUGGAUUAGCAGCGGAUAAUUCUCGAAUAGAAAAGCAUGGAAAAUUAUUAAUCUUCUACUAUUAAAAACAUAAAGCCUAAAUUCAGUGAAUUUUCCAACACAAUACCUGACACACACAAUGAAACGCCUGUAGCGUUUCAAAAAAAGAAAGAAAAUUAUUUAUUUGGGUAUCACAAAAUUAGCAUUAUUAGCACAUAAUCAUGUAAUCAUGUUGGUUCGCCUCAGCAUAAUUUUUGUAGCCUGAAAUAAACGUAUUUUUUAUUUGUAUUUUGAUCUGUGUCUAUUAUUAUGUAAUUAUCCUUCUUUUCUCUCCAGUGGUGUGACCUUACCAGUCUGCUCCAAUUUCGAGUACCUAUGCUCACUUGUGCAAAGUGACGGUGAUAUUGACCGGGACGUAACCAGCCGUAAUUGGAGCCUCAUAUUUCCCUUAAAUUGAAAGGAAAAAUUUAUAAGGCAGUUAUCAGACCAGUCAUAAUGUAGGUAUGGAUCUUAAUGUUGGGCAACGAAAGUAACGGAUGAAAGGAAACUUCAUACGACAGAGAUGCGAAUGUUGAGAUGCAUGUGUAACUAGAUAAAAUAAGGAAUGAGUAUGUGAGAGGAAGUAUGAAAGUAGCAUCAGUUAAUGAGAAAUUACAUAGUUAUAGGUUAGGCUGGUACGGGCAUAUUUUAAGAAGAGAUAAAAUCACGUUACUCAUAGGGCAUUAAAGAUGGAAGUAAAGGGUUCCAGGAAUAGAGGUAGACCUGAGAACAAAUGGAUAAUUUGUAUCAAGUAUAGUGUUAACGGGAAAGGAAUAUCAAGGGAUAUGGCGAAUGACAGAACGAAAAUGGAAGGAACUUAUACACUGUGCCGACCCCACAUGAGUGGGAUAAGGUCAAGAAGAAGAAGAGAAGACACCCAGAGCACUCGCAAUGUAGAUUGUGGAGUAGUGGAUGACGAUGAUUUAUCACGAACAAAUUCGCUAACACAAAAGAUAGCACAUAAGUUAUAAUCUAUUUUAUUGUCCAAAUAAAAAUAGUAAUUUUUCAUGAAAAAGCCUAGAAAAACUGUUAGAAAUUGCUUAGCACUCGAGGGCGAAGGGAAUUUUAAAAAUAUAAAUGAAUUUGGCUUCGAACAAUUUUUAACAAAAACAAUUCAUGUGUGUAUAAGCAGUCAGUGCCAAUAAAAUAAAUAACGGCACGACCUUUAUCUUAACUUAGUAUUAUUAUUAUAUUUAUAUAGUCAAAGGCGAAACCUAUUAUUUACUACAGAUAUUUUUAGUGUUCCGUAGUCCUGUAGACAAGGAACCCUUAUAGUUCCGCCAAGUCCGUCUGUCCGUCUGCGGUCAAACUCAAAAACUAUUAGUAAGUACUAAAAUAAUGUAAUUUGGUAUACUUACAUAAUAAUUACGUUGACAAAAUGGUGUAAUAAAAGUCUAAUAAAAUCUUUUUUUUUUAAUAUUCCAGGCUACCUCCCUUACACGUGAAGUGGAAAUGACUUUAAAAGUUUACGAGUUCUUAGUUGACUGUAUUCUAGUAAAAAACCUCUGCGGAAAACACGGAACCCUAUACUGUGCGUGGUCGCAUUUGGCUGGUGGUGUAAGCGGUCACCAUAGCCUAUGGACAUAACCGCUUUUUGAAGAACUCCAUGUUGCAGUCUCUAGAGUAAACAACGGGACCCUUUGUGAAAACAAUAAAAACGGUCACGACAACCAUUUUUAUAGCAACUGCUUACAUAAUCGAAUCGAAUAAUUUUUAAAUAAUUAAAUUACUAUUAAUCCUAUCAUCAUCAUCAUCAUCAUCCUCUGCAGCCCUCCUCAACCCACUGCUGGGCAUAGGCCACCUUCCGUCUCCGCCAACUAUCUCAGUCCUGAGCCAUUAAUUAAUCCUAUAUGUGAUUUUUUUAGAACUUUGAAUUAAUUUAUUUUUUAAAAUUUCAAAGUUCAAAGACAUCAACGUCUUUAAAGCCUAAGAUUGUUUGCCUGGACGACUAACCAAAAGAGCCACUGUGUUGAUUGCGAGCCUCAGCCACAGAGAUAUAUGACUAUGAUGAUGAAUAAAAUUAUGUCUAAUUUAAAUAUUUAUAUUUCACAAAAUAUUUGACGAAACUGCAUCACUCAAAAGUCACUCAACUGAAUCGAAAACAGACGUACUAAAGUCAUCCUAACUUUUGGCGUAAGAGCGUACUUUUCCAACAGUGGAAGUUUGUAGUUGGUUUUUCACAUGGAAUGCCCACGUUGAUAAUGUCACGCAGAUAGCAUAGAUUGCGUCCUCGAAUUUUGACCGAUGUGUGAGUGUAGGCAGAUGUGCGUCUGUUUUGAAUACGACGCGAUUAACUGGCUUGUACGACGUCCUAUCUUCAGCAAUACAUGCAGAUCCCAUUGUUACAUAAAACCUAUUUUUGGUACUUACGAUUCGAUGCAAAAUUAAAGGUACUUAUGUACGUCCGUGUAAUGUUAAAGUAUCCGAAAUGGUCUGACAACUAGGGAUGCCGAUAACCGUACGACAUGGAGACGGAAAAGAAACUGUGUUACCGGAAAACAUUCAGAUGCAUUCGUAUAUAAAUCCAGCGAAAUUAAAUCUUUUGUUACCUGAGUAGAGACUAUAGUUAUAAGUAUGUACUAAUUACUACUACUACUAAUGUCAUAGUAAAAUACACUUAAGUGAUCAUAGGUUUUAAUUAGUAUUAUACAAAAAUUCCAUUUUUGACACCAACCUUUUCGUCAGCAAACAUUGUUGUCAGAGAGAUCUUAUUGCAUUAAAUGUAUGAUAAAAAUUCAUGUCUGUGCAGUAAACCGUUGAGGAGUUCCCACAUUUGAAGCCACCAUUACAAUACUUAUCAUAAUAAUGCAUUGUCAUCCAAACUAAACAUGUCUACAAAAUUGAGUUGCAAGAUUCCACCUCAGACAUAGGAACACAGCUACAUUGCAACUUAAAUAAGCUUAUAAAAUAGAAGUUCAUAGUAAUUAAUACUUUUUUACUCAAUAUACUCAUGAUAAUAAAAAGAGAUACAAGUAUUAUUGACACACCCACGGAUAUAUCAACGAAUAAGAACGUCUGUCGUCUAAUGUCACUCGUUGAGUGUCAACUUUAGUAAAAUGUUAAAAAAUGUUUUUGAAAAAAUCACCAUGUAUAAAUCAACAAACCCACUGAUAUCACAGAAUAUCUGCCCAAAUUAUAAAUAUAAGACAUCUAAAUCAAUCAAACGCUUCGGAAUUCCCAAAUUGAAGAAGAUUCAGAUAAUGUCCUCAAGAUACGAGAUAGGUGUUCGUGUCGUUUAUUUAAACGGUAGGUCUUCUCCCGUCAUGGUCAUUACGAUUCAGUGUGUGAUUGAGUGAUAUCUGAGAGUCCUUAUUGGAAAUACUAAGACAUAAGAUGUCUGGCCCCGGCGACAACAAGGACCAGAAGCCCUACCGCCCCCCGCCCUACGAGAGGCCCAACGGGGCUCCUGACAACACCAAAGAUCGCCCAAGGGGUUAAAUAUACUCAAUAGGUCGAGGCCUUUGUGACCACAAAAAUGUAGAAUUGGUGUCCAAUUGAUUAUAGCUAAAUAAUAAGCACUGAUAAAAAAAGACUUAUGUAUAUUUCAAUACAAAUUUAGUUUUGUUACAAUCAUGAUUUCAAUUGAUUUUAAAAAUUUUACUUCGUCUUAUACCACUUUUUAAUAAUUUGAAAAAAAUAUAUUGUAAUCAGAAGUGUAGGCAAUUAUUUAAAAAAAAUGAUUUAGAUAAUACUUUAAUUUGUUAGUUGUAAUGUAUUCUAGAA
This is a long non-coding RNA of Plodia interpunctella (Indianmeal moth), 3940 nucleotides long. RefSeq lists it as uncharacterized. The record is from RefSeq and is a predicted model, not a curated record. The transcript has 3 exons. Lineage: Eukaryota; Metazoa; Arthropoda; Insecta; Lepidoptera; Pyralidae.